This 492-nucleotide ribosomal RNA is filed under the name uncultured bacterium. RNAcentral's name for it is "partial 16S ribosomal RNA". It matches the Rfam family "Bacterial small subunit ribosomal RNA", at positions 29 to 507 of the family's 1533-position model. The record is from RNAcentral.
AAUGAACGCUGGCGGUAUGCCUAACACAUGCAAGUCGAACGAACACACAGUAAGCUCUUGCUCUUACGGUUAGCGACUGGCGGACGGGUAACGCAUACAUCACCAUCUUCUUUUUCUUGGAUAACAACGUAGGACCGCUUCCACUACUACAUCAUACAACCUACCGCUGGGAUCAGUGGUUCUUCGCACCUUUCCCGUUUCAUUUAGCCGGUGCCGCAUUAGCUAGUUGGCUGGGUAAGGUCCCACCAAGGCAACGAUGCGUAGCUGACCUGAGAGGAUGAUCAGCCACACUGGAACUGAGACACGGUCCAGACUCCUACGGGAGGCAGCAGUGGGGAAUAUUGGGCAAUGGGCGAAAGCUUGACGGAGCCAUGCCGCGUGAGUGAAGAAGGUCUUCGGGUUGUAAAGCUCUGUUGUUGGGAAAGAAAAGCAGUAGGUGAAUAUCUCGAUGUCUUGACGGUACCUAAACAAUAAGCACCGGCUAACUUCGUG